AGUUCUUUGCAAAAUUUCUCACUUCUCCUUUCUCCUUUUCUAUGUUUCAUUUCUUGAUUCUUUGCAAACUAUAUGGAGUACAAGUUCUUACAUUAGGAUCUCGUUUAUUAUGUCAAUGCAGAAGGAAGAAGAAUAUCUUAGGUAAGGUUUCGACUAUGUGUGUCUCCUUUUCGAUCGAUUGAAGGUUUUGUUUCAAGAUUUUUUUUACUAACGUUCCUAUUUUUUGUUUUUUCUUUUAGAUUGUACCAUCAAUUUUGAAUUCCCUACAAUUAGACCGGGAGUUAGCUUGUUCUUCGUUUUGGGUUCGGCUUUGUUUGGAACAUUUACAGCUAGUUUAGAUUUAUUCAUUUUUUUGGGAUUAUAUUUUUUUCUAGAUUUUUGGGUGUGUUAUAUAUGAUUUUUUUUACAUUUUUAUAAAAAAAAAAAUUUCAAAUUUUGUCAAUUUUUUAUUUCAUAGUUCGCUGAAUUUGUUUGGUUUGUGAAAGCUGAUUGUUGUAUUAUACUUGUCAUUCCAACCUACCUUGUUUAUUAUAUUUCUCUAGGUUAGGCAUGGGUACCAAUAUUUUAAGUGAAUAGGAAAGUCUGUACAGUUAUGAAUUCUCAACAAAUCAGUUAUGUGGCCCAUCUAUCGCGAUAAACUAUCGUUCCCGACAAUUCAUUUUAGUCAUUCUCGACUGAUGACUAUUUGAUAGUUAAAGAUAGUAUUUUCCGAGCAUUAUACUUUGUUUUUUGCUUUCUUGUGUGUCGCAUUAACAUCCGACGAAUUCAAAAUUUUAAAUACUCUCGUCUCAUUUCGUAGUAUGCAAAUUAGAAAUAUUGAAUUCAUGUCCAUUUCUAUUGUAAUUAUUUUUUUCAACUAGAUGGAAGAGCCAUUAACUCAUACUUGAAUGAUUUUGAGAGUUCAAUGCCUAGUAGGAACCAAGAGGUGAACGGUACGUUCGUUCAUUAUGAAGAAUUCAAAAUUUUAAAUACUCUAAUCUCAUUCCAUAGUUUGCAAACUAGAAAUACUAAACUCAUGUUGGUUAGUGUUAUAAAUGUUGUUUUCAAAUAGAUGGAGGAGCCAUAGAGCCCGAAGUGUUAUGUCUGGACAACGAGGAAGUUACCUCAGCCUGUAGCGUGAUGGAAAUGGCCACCUUACCCAUCGUAAGCAACAAUGUUGAUAACAUAAAAAGUCUGUGAUUGACACACAUUUGAUUUCCUGUAGCAUCUACUAGGACUCCAUAUAUUGAGAGGAGAAAGAGAGUAAAGAAAUAGUAUAACAAAAUUUGUUAAUACUACAUUAAAAUCGAUUUGUGAUAGUGUACUAAAUGACCUAAUUUUGCUUCCCUCCAAGAAUGUGGUUAUAAACACUAUUUGGUGGUUAUAUUCA
This 1369-nucleotide long non-coding RNA is filed under the name Olea europaea (common olive). Its description in RNAcentral is "long non-coding RNA (OEUR_LNC008288)". Lineage: Eukaryota; Viridiplantae; Streptophyta; Magnoliopsida; Lamiales; Oleaceae. The record is from RNAcentral.